RNAcentral lists this ribosomal RNA (253 nucleotides) under uncultured bacterium. Its description in RNAcentral is "partial 16S ribosomal RNA". It matches the Rfam family "Bacterial small subunit ribosomal RNA", at positions 524 to 776 of the family's 1533-position model. The record is from RNAcentral.
UACGGAGGGUGCAAGCGUUAUCCGGAAUCAUUGGGUUUAAAGGGUCCGUAGGCGGGGCGAUAAGUCAGUGGUGAAAUGCAGGGGCUCAACUCCGGCACUGCCAUUGAUACUGUUGUCCUUGAGUUGUCGUGAAGUGACUAGAAUAUGUAGUGUAGCGGUGAAAUGCUUAGAUAUUACAUAGAAUACCGAUUGCGAAGGCAGGUCACUAACGGCAUACUGACGCUGAUGGACGAAAGCGUGGGUAGCGAACAGG